GGACCAAGUUUUUUAAGGCCAUACGGACAGCCGGGUCCCAAUGCCGA
RNAcentral lists this small RNA (47 nucleotides) under unclassified sequences. Its description in RNAcentral is "Streptococcus sRNA SpF59 (ldcC RNA)". It matches the Rfam family "Streptococcus sRNA SpF59 (ldcC RNA)". The record is from Rfam by way of RNAcentral.